Molecule: non-coding RNA, 92 nt
Organism: Triticum urartu
Lineage: Eukaryota; Viridiplantae; Streptophyta; Magnoliopsida; Poales; Poaceae
Source: Rfam
AAAACUAGCCAGUCUCAUGGGUAUGAAACCCAUUUGAGCGAGAGUAGUACUAGGAUGGGUGACCUCCUGGGAAGUCCUCGUGAAAGGGUUUC